This 253-nucleotide ribosomal RNA is filed under the name uncultured bacterium. RNAcentral describes it as "partial 16S ribosomal RNA". It matches the Rfam family "Bacterial small subunit ribosomal RNA", at positions 524 to 776 of the family's 1533-position model. The record is from RNAcentral.
UACGGAGGGGGCAAGCGUUGUUCGGAUUUACUGGGCGUAAAGGGCGCGUAGGCGGCGUGACAAGUCACUUGUGAAAUCUCCGGGCUUAACCCGGAGCGGCCAAGUGAUACUGUCGUGCUAGAGUGCGGAAGGGGCUACUGGAAUUCUCGGUGUAGCGGUGAAAUGCGUAGAUAUCGAGAGGAACACCUGUGGCGAAAGCGGCGCACUGGACCACAACUGACGCUGAGGCGCGAAAGCUAGGGGAGCAAACAGG